ACCCACCACAGAAGGUAAUAGUCCUGUAUGUUAAACGAGAAGACUUUAGAUAUGAUCCAGAGUACCACGGGACACGUGAAACCCUGUGGGAAGCAGGAGGGACCACCCUCCAAGGCUAAAUACUACCUAGUGACCGAUAGCGUAUAGUACCGUGAGGGAAAGGUGAAAAGAACCCCGGGAGGGGAGUGAAAUAGAACCUGAAACCCUGCACUUACAAGCUGUGGAAGCACAUUUCUUGUGUGACCGCGUACUUUUUGUAGAACGGGCCAACGAGUUACGUUAAGUAGCAAGGUUAAGCACUUAAGGUGCGGAGCCGUAGCGAAAGCGAGUUUUAACUGAGCGUUCAGUUACUUGACGUAGACCCGAAACCGGGCGACCUACCCAUGAGCAGGAUGAAGCGAAAGUAAAAUUUCGUGGAGGUCCGAACCCACGAGCGUUGAAAAGCUCGGGGAUGACUUGUGGGUAGCGGUGAAAUUCCAAUCGAGCCCGGAGAUAGCUGGUUCUCCCCGAAAUAGCUUUAGGGCUAGCCUCAAGGUGAGAGAUACGGAGGUAGAGCACUGAAUGUCCUAGGGGGUAUUGCACCUACCGAAGACUAUCAAACUCCGAAUGCCGUCAUCUUAUACUUGGGAGUCAGACUGUGGGUGAUAAGAUUCAUAGUCGAAAGGGCAACAGCCCAGAUCGUCAGCUAAGGUCCCUAAAUGUAAGUUAAGUGGUAAAGGAUGUGGGAUUGCACAGACAACCAGGAUGUUGGCUUAGAAGCAGCCACUCAUUCAAAGAGUGCGUAAUAGCUCACUGGUCGAGUGAUCCUGCGCCGAAGAUUUCCGGGGCUAAAACUUACUACCGAAGCUACGGCAUCAGUAAUGAUGGGUAGGGGAGCUUCCCAUACGGGUUGAAGCAUGACCGUAAGGACAUGUGGACAGUAUGGGAGUGAGAAUGUUGGCAUGAGUAGCGAGAUGUGGGUGAGAAUCCCACAGGCCGUAAACCCAAGGUUUCCAGGGGAAGGUUCGUCCGCCCUGGGUUAGUCGGGACCUAAGCUGAGGCCGAAAGGCGUAGGUGAUGGACAACAGGUUGAUAUUCCUGUACUACCGAUAACCGUUUGAGAGAAGGGAUGACACAGUAGGAUAAGCUAAGCACACUGUUGGUUAUGUGUGCCCAAGCAUUGAGGCAGUCAAAGUAGGCAAAUCCGCUUUGAUAAUGCUGGGAUGUGAUGGGGAGCGAAAUUUAGUAGCGAAGUAGCUGAUUUCACACUGUCAAGAAAAGUCUCUAUCGAGGUUAAAGGUACCCGUACCGCAAACCGACACAGGUGGGUGAGGAGAGUAUCCUAAGGCCAGCGAGAGAACUGUUGUUAAGGAACUCGGCAAAAUGACCCCGUAACUUAGGGAUAAGGGGUGCCACCAUCAGGUGGCCGCAGAGAAUAGGCCCAAGCGACUGUUUACCAAAAACAUAGGUUUCUGCUAAGUCGCAAGACGAUGUAUAGGAGCUGACGCCUGCCCGGUGCUGGAAGGUUAAGGGGAUCUGUUAGAGCAAUCGAAGCAGUGAACUUAAGCCCCAGUAAACGGCGGCCGUAACUAUAACGGUCCUAAGGUAGCGAAAUUCCUUGUCGGGUAAGUUCCGACCCGCACGAAAGGCGUAACGAUUUGGGCACUGUCUCAACAACAGACUCGGUGAAAUUGUAAUUCCGGUGAAGAUGCCGGAUACCUGCGACAGGACGGAAAGACCCCAUGGAGCUUUACUGUAGCUUGACAUUGGGUCUUGGUACUACAUGUACAGGAUAGGUGGGAGGCUUUGAAACCAGGACGCCAGUUUUGGCGGAGCCAUCCUUGGGAUACCACCCUUGUAGUACUGGGACUCUAACCAUAGGCCAUGAAUCUGGUCUUGGGACACUGUCAGGUGGGCAGUUUGACUGGGGCGGUCGCCUCCCAAAAGGUAACGGAGGCGCUCAAAGGUUCUCUCAGUACGGUCGGAAAUCGUACGUAGAGUGUAAAGGCAAAAGAGAGCUUGAUUGCAAGACAUACAGGUCGAGCAAGGAUGAAAAUCGGACUUAGUGAUCCGGUGGUUCUGCGUGGAAGGGCCAUCGCUCAACGGAUAAAAGCUACCCUGGGGAUAACAGGCUUAUCUCCCCCAAGAGUCCACAUCGACGGGGAGGUUUGGCACCUCGAUGUCGGCUCAUCACAUCCUGGGGCUGUAGUAGGUCCCAAGGGUUGGGCUGUUCGCCCAUUAAAGUGGUACGCGAGCUGGGUUCAGAACGUCGUGAGACAGUUCGGUCCCUAUCCGUCGCAGGCGUAGGAAAUUUGAGAAGACCUGUCCUUAGUACGAGAGGACCGGGAUGGACGUACCUCUGGUGUACCAGUUGUCCUGCCAAGGGCAUGGCUGGGUAGCUAUGUACGGAAUGGAUAAGCGCUGAAAGCAUCUAAGCGCGAAGCCAACUUCAAGAUAAGAUUUCCCACCGCAAGGGUAAGACCCCAGAAAGACUAUCUGGUUGA
This 2483-nucleotide ribosomal RNA is filed under the name Clostridioides difficile. Its description in RNAcentral is "bacterial LSU rRNA". It matches the Rfam family "Bacterial large subunit ribosomal RNA", at positions 350 to 2856 of the family's 2925-position model. The record is from RNAcentral. Lineage: Bacteria; Bacillati; Bacillota; Clostridia; Peptostreptococcales; Peptostreptococcaceae.